GAGAUGCGAUAAGUAAUGUGAAUUGCAGAAUGCAGUGAAUCAUCGAAUCUUUGAACGCACAUUGCGCCCGCCAGUAUUCUGGCGGGCAUGCCUGUUCGAGCGUCAUUUCAACCAUCAAGCCCCCGGCUUGUGUUGGGGACCUGCGGAUGCCCGCAGGCCCUGAAAAACAGUGGCGGGCUCGCUGUCACACCGAGCGUAGUAGCAUACAUUCUCGCUCAGGGCGUGCUGCGGGUUCCGGCCGUUAAACGACCUUCAUAACCCAAGGUUGACCUCGGAUCAGGUAGGAAGACCCGCUGAACUUAAGC
This 305-nucleotide unclassified non-coding RNA is filed under the name plant metagenome. RNAcentral describes it as "partial contains 5.8S ribosomal RNA, internal transcribed spacer 2, and large subunit ribosomal RNA". The stretch from base 1 to 105 matches the Rfam family "5.8S ribosomal RNA", at positions 50 to 154 of the family's 154-position model. The record is from RNAcentral.